This is a long non-coding RNA of Onychostoma macrolepis, 527 nucleotides long. RefSeq lists it as uncharacterized. The record is from RefSeq and is a predicted model, not a curated record. Lineage: Eukaryota; Metazoa; Chordata; Actinopteri; Cypriniformes; Cyprinidae. The transcript has 3 exons.
GGAGACAGGGAUUAGGGACUGGUUUGCUGAGUCCUUAAUUGCCGGAUUACAAGUUUAAAUGCAGGACAGCAACACUACAAAAAUAUGGUCUUUUACAACAUGAUGCAUUGUUGUAGAUUAAACUACUCAACAACCAGACCCCUGUACUGCAGGAUAAAGCUGAAUGUGUCAGCGCUGGACAGGUUUUUAACAGUGCUGCUAGAUCUGGAUGGGGUGCCACAAUCCAGACCCUGGUGUUUCUCUUCUGUCUGGCCAGUGGUGCAUCAUACAGAGUGGUCUCCAGAGUGUUUGACAUGCCUCGUUCCACUGUCCACCGCAUUGUCCUCCGAGUUGCUGAGGAGGUGCUGGCCAUUCACCAAUUCCUCCCAAAGACCCCAGAACACAUGGAGGCAGGGCUGGGCUUAAAAUUGAUGUUGUUUUUCUGAUGUUAAACCUAAGCUAUGUUGUAAAUAGUACUUUCAGUAAUGUAUAGAACAAUUUGUUUUAAUGUGUAAAAAAUUUAUUUACAGGACAAAAAAAUAAACGUA